This 301-nucleotide ribosomal RNA is filed under the name uncultured bacterium. RNAcentral's name for it is "partial 16S ribosomal RNA". It matches the Rfam family "Bacterial small subunit ribosomal RNA", at positions 509 to 809 of the family's 1533-position model. The record is from RNAcentral.
CAGUAGCCGCGGGAAUACGUAGGUGGCAAGCGUUGUCCGGAAUUAUUGGGCGUAAAGCGCGCGCAGGCGGCCUAUCCAGUCUGUCUUAAAAGUUCGGGGCUCAACCCCGUGAUGGGAUGGAAACUAGUAGGCUAGAGUAUCGGAGAGGAAAGCGGAAUUCCUAGUGUAGCGGUGAAAUGCGUAGAUAUUAGGAGGAACACCAGUGGCGAAGGCGGCUUUCUGGACGAAAACUGACGCUGAGGCGCGAAAGCCAGGGGAGCGAACGGGAUUAGAUACCCCCGUAGUCCCUGUCUCUUAUACA